This 484-nucleotide ribosomal RNA is filed under the name uncultured bacterium. Its description in RNAcentral is "partial 16S ribosomal RNA". It matches the Rfam family "Bacterial small subunit ribosomal RNA", at positions 30 to 507 of the family's 1533-position model. The record is from RNAcentral.
AUUGAACGCUGGCGGGAUGCUUUACACAUGCAAGUCGAACGGCAGCACGGGGGCAGCCCUGGUGGCGAGUGGCGAACGGGUGAGUAAUACAUCGGAACGUGCCCGGUCGUGGGGGAUAACGUAGCGAAAGUUACGCUAAUACCGCAUACGAUCUGAGGAUGAAAGCGGGGGACCUUCGGGCCUCGCGCGAUCGGAGCGGCCGAUGUCAGAUUAGGUAGUUGGUGGGGUAAAGGCCUACCAAGCCGACGAUCUGUAGCUGGUCUGAGAGGACGACCAGCCACACUGGGACUGAGACACGGCCCAGACUCCUACGGGAGGCAGCAGUGGGGAAUUUUGGACAAUGGGCGCAAGCCUGAUCCAGCCAUUCCGCGUGCAGGACGAAGGCCUUCGGGUUGUAAACUGCUUUUGUACGGAACGAAAAGGCUCUGGCUAAUACCUGGGGCUCAUGACGGUACCGUAAGAAUAAGCACCGGCUAACUACGUG